CACGUAGGCACCAAGCGUUGUCCGGAUUUAUUGGGCGUAAAGAGCUCGUAGGCGGUUCGGUAAGUCGGGUGUGAAAACUCUGGGCUCAACCCAGAGCCGCCACCCGAUACUGCUGUGACUCGAGUGCGGUAGGGGAGCGGGGAAUUCCUGGUGUAGCGGUGAAAUGCGCAGAUAUCGGGAGGAACACCAGUGGCGAAGGCGGCCAUCUGGCUCAACAUUGACGCUGAGGCACGAAAGCGUGGGGAGCAAACAGG
RNAcentral lists this ribosomal RNA (254 nucleotides) under uncultured bacterium. Its description in RNAcentral is "partial 16S ribosomal RNA". It matches the Rfam family "Bacterial small subunit ribosomal RNA", at positions 524 to 776 of the family's 1533-position model. The record is from RNAcentral.